This 474-nucleotide long non-coding RNA is filed under the name Rosa chinensis. Its description in RNAcentral is "sRNA RchiOBHm_Chr7g0196681". Lineage: Eukaryota; Viridiplantae; Streptophyta; Magnoliopsida; Rosales; Rosaceae. The record is from RNAcentral.
GGUCGGCUAAUAAGCUCGAGGUCAGAUCGGAGCUCAAGCUCGAGGUAGGGGAACUCGGGGUCAGAGCGAGGCAGGGGAACUCGGGGUCAGAGAGCGAGGUCGGGGACUCGGGGUCAGAGCGAGGUAGGGGAACUCGGGGUCAGAGAGCGAGGUAGGGGAACUCGGGGUCAGAGCGAGGCAGGGGAACUCGGGGUCAGAGAGCGAGGUCGGGGACUCGGGGUCAGAGCGAGGUAGGGGAACUCGGGGUCAGAGAGCGAGGUAGGGGACUCGGGGUCAGAGAGCGAGGUAGGGGAACUCGGGGUCAGAGCGAGGCAGGGGAACUCAGGGUCAGAGAGCGAGGUCGGGGACUCGGGGUCAGGUUGGAGGUGGCUCCAGUAGGCUUAGGUUGGAGAAUGAAGUCGGGUGUCGACGCAGGUCAGCUUGGAGAAGGAGAUCGGGAGUCGAUGCAGUCAGCUUGGAGAAGGAGGCUAGGUC